UACGUAGGGGGCAAGCGUUGUCCGGAAUCAUUGGGCGUAAAGCGCGUGUAGGCGGUUCGGUAAGUCGGCUGUGAAAGUCCAGGGCUCAACCCUGGGAUGCCGGUCGAUACUGCCGGACUAGAGUUCAGAAGAGGCGAGUGGAAUUCCCGGUGUAGCGGUGAAAUGCGCAGAUAUCGGGAGGAACACCAAUGGCGAAGGCAGCUCGCUGGGACGUUACUGACGCUGAGACGCGAAAGCGUGGGGAGCAAACAGG
This 253-nucleotide ribosomal RNA is filed under the name uncultured bacterium. RNAcentral's name for it is "partial 16S ribosomal RNA". It matches the Rfam family "Bacterial small subunit ribosomal RNA", at positions 524 to 776 of the family's 1533-position model. The record is from RNAcentral.